GAUGAACGCUGGCGGCGUGCUUAACACAUGCAAGUCGAACGAGAAGUGGAGACGGAAACCUUCGGGCGGAAGACUUUAUUUCGAGUGGCGGACGGGUGAGUAACGCGUGGGUAACCUGCCUCAUACAGGGGGAUAACAGUUGGAAACGACUGUUAAUACCGCAUAAGAUCACAGCACCGCAUGGUGCGGGGGUAAAAACUCCGGUGGUAUGAGAUGGACCCGCGUUCGAUUAGCCAGUUGGCGGGGUAACGGCCCACCAAAGCGACGAUCGAUAGCCGAUCUGAGAGGAUGACCGGCCACAUUGGGACUGAGACACGGCCCAAACUCCUACGGGAGGCAGCAGUGGGGAAUAUUGCACAAUGGGGGAAACCCUGAUGCAGCGACGCCGCGUGAGUGAAGAAGUAUUUCGGUAUGUAAAGCUCUAUCAGCAGGGAAGAAAAUGACGGUACCUGAGUAAGAAGCCCCGGCUAACUACGUG
RNAcentral lists this ribosomal RNA (478 nucleotides) under uncultured bacterium. Its description in RNAcentral is "partial 16S ribosomal RNA". It matches the Rfam family "Bacterial small subunit ribosomal RNA", at positions 28 to 507 of the family's 1533-position model. The record is from RNAcentral.